RNAcentral lists this ribosomal RNA (406 nucleotides) under uncultured bacterium. Its description in RNAcentral is "partial 16S ribosomal RNA". It matches the Rfam family "Bacterial small subunit ribosomal RNA", at positions 30 to 526 of the family's 1533-position model. The record is from RNAcentral.
AUUGAACGCUGGCGGCAGGCCUAACACAUGCAAGUCGAACGAGUGGCGGACGGGUGAGUAAUGUCUGGGAAACUGCCUGAUGGAGGGGGAUAACUACUGGAAACGGUAGCUAAUACCGCAUACCAUCGGAUGUGCCCAGAUGGGAUUGGCUAGUAGGGGGGGUAAAGGCUCACCUAGGCGACGAUCCCUAGCUGGUCUGAGAGGAUGACCGGCAACACUGGACCUGAGACACGGUCCAGACUCCUAGGGGAGGCAGCAGUGGGGAAUAUUGCACAAUGGGCGAAAGCCGGAUGCAGCAAUGCCGCGUGUAUGGAGAAGGCCUUCGGGUUGUAAAGUACUUUCAGCGGGGAGGCGUUACCCGCAGAAGAAGCACCGGCUAACUCCGUGCCAGCAGCCGCGGUAAUUC